CGAACGGAGUACCCUUGAAGGAGUUUUCGGACAACUGAUAGGACUACUUAGUGGCGGACGGGUGAGUAACGCGUGAGUAACCUGCCUUGGAGUGGGGAAUAACAGCUGGAAACAGCUGCUAAUACCGCAUAAUGCAGUUGGGUCGCAUGGCUCUGACUGCCAAAGAUUUAUCGCUCUGAGAUGGACUCGCGUCUGAUUAGCUAGUUGGCGGGGUAACGGCCCACCAAGGCAACGAUCAGUAGCCGGACUGAGAGGUUGGCCGGCCACAUUGGGACUGAGACACGGCCCAGACUCCUACGGGAGGCAGCAGUGGGGAAUAUUGGGCAAUGGGCGCAAGCCUGACCCAGCAACGCCGCGUGAAGGAAGAAGGCUUUCGGGUUGUAAACUUCUUUUUUCAGGGACGAAGAAAGUGACGGUACCUGAGGAAUAAGCCACGGCUAACUACGUGCCAGCAGCCGCGGUAAUACGUAGGUGGCAAGCGUUAUCCGGAUCUACUGGGUGUAAAGGGCGUGUAGGCGGGGAAGCAAGUCAGAUGUGAAAACCACGGGCUCAACCUGUGGCCUGCAUUUGAAACUGUUUUUCUUGAGUACUGGAGAGGCAGACGGAAUUCCUAGUGUAGCGGUGAAAUGCGUAUAUUUUAGGAGGAACACCAGGGGGGAAGGCGGUCUGCUGGACAGCAACUGACGCUGAGGCGCGAAAGCGUGGGGAGCAAACAGGAUUAGAUACCCUGGUAGUCCACGCUGUAAACGAUGGAUACUAGGUGUGGGGGGACUGACCCCCUCCGUGCCGGAGUUAACACAAUAAGUAUCCCACCUGGGGAGUACGAUCGCAAGGUUGAAACUCAAAGGAAUUGACGGGGGCCCGCACAAGCGGUGGAGUAUGUGGUUUAAUUCGAAGCAACGCGAAGAACCUUACCAGGGCUUGACAUCCCGAUGACCGCUCUAGAGAUAGAGUUUUCUCUUCGGAGACAUCGGUGACAGGUGGUGCAUGGUUGUCGUCAGCUCGUGUCGUGAGAUGUUGGGUUAAGUCCCGCAACGAGCGCAACCCUUAUUGUUAGUUGCUACGCAAGAGCACUCUAGCGAGACUGCCGUUGACAAAACGGAGGAAGGUGGGGACGACGUCAAAUCAUCAUGCCCCUUAUGUCCUGGGCCACACACGUACUACAAUGGUGGUCAACAGAGGGAAGCAAUACCGCGAGGUGGAGCAAAUCCCUAAAAGCCAUCCCAGUUCGGAUCGCAGGCUGCAACCCGCCUGCGUGAAGUUGGAAUCGCUAGU
Molecule: ribosomal RNA, 1275 nt
Filed under: uncultured bacterium
Lineage: Bacteria
Description: bacterial SSU rRNA
Rfam family: Bacterial small subunit ribosomal RNA
Source: RNAcentral